RNAcentral lists this ribosomal RNA (508 nucleotides) under uncultured Glomeromycotina. RNAcentral's name for it is "SSU rRNA". It matches the Rfam family "Eukaryotic small subunit ribosomal RNA", at positions 569 to 1078 of the family's 1831-position model. Lineage: Eukaryota; Fungi; Glomeromycota. The record is from RNAcentral.
AGCAGCCGCGGUAAUUCCAGCUCCAAUAGCGUAUAUUAAAGUUGUUGCAGUUAAAAAGCUCGUAGUUGAAUUUCGGGGUUAGUAGGUUGGUCAUGCCUCUGGUAUGUACUGGUCUCACUGAUUCCUCCUUCCUGAUGAACCUUAAUGCCAUUAAUUUGGUGUUUUGGGGAAUCAGGACUGUUACUUUGAAAAAAUUAGAGUGUUUAAAGCAGGCUCACGCUUGAAUACAUUAGCAUGGAAUAACGAAAUAGGACGUUUGAUUUUAUUUUGUUGGUUUCUAGGAUCGACGUAAUGAUUAAUAGGGAUAGUUGGGGGCAUUAGUAUUCAAUUGUCAGAGGUGAAAUUCUUGGAUUUAUUGAAGACUAACUACUGCGAAAGCAUUUGCCAAGGAUGUUUUCAUUAAUCAAGAACGAAAGUUAGGGGAUCGAAGACGAUCAGAUACCGUCGUAGUCUUAACCAUAAACUAUGCCGACUAGGGAUCGGAUGAUGUUAAUUUUUUAAUGACUCA